Arabidopsis lyrata subsp. lyrata is the source of this 2250-nucleotide RNA transcript. It is a transcript of the gene named palmitoyl-protein thioesterase 1, with no coding region annotated. The record is from RefSeq and is a predicted model, not a curated record. The transcript has 11 exons. Lineage: Eukaryota; Viridiplantae; Streptophyta; Magnoliopsida; Brassicales; Brassicaceae.
UACUAGGUAUAACAAAACUAAGAAUCUAUGGUGAUGAAUCAAUCUUGCUUGGAAUAUUAAAAACUUAACAUAUAUUCAAGGGUCCCUAUAUUUGACUAUCUUAUUUAUUUUUUUCUUCUAAAAUACUUUUAUCAAUAGGAAAAAAACCAGCUCUGAAUAUUAAAAUUUGAAAACAAUUGAGGUCUAAGAGUUAAUCAAUAUUUUGACAUAAAGAAAGAAAUAAAUCUGCAGUAGAACAAAAUAUCACAAAACAAUAUAUAUGUGGUCUAGUUAAUAACGCCUAUAAAUAAGCCAAGUGAAGAAGACACAAACUCUAUUGCCCAAAAAAAAAAAAAAAAAAAAAGAAGAAGACACAACUCUUGUUUUAAAGUGAUUGGAGUCCCAUUUAUUUUUGAUGAUAAAUAGGAGAGAAAACGUUUUGACUCACAUAACGUAGAAAGAAAAAAGGAAUAUUCCGGCAAAGAUUGAGAAUCUCAAUUAUCCAAUGGAGAAGUGUUUCCGGCGGUCUGUUCUCCUUUCCACGGUGAUCGCCGCCAUGUUAUUCUCUUUUAUUCCGGUUUCAAUCUCUAUUCCCUUCAUACUCUUUCACGGAAUUGGAGAUAAAUGUUCUGGUGGAGUUAGUAACUUCACGCAACUCCUAACCAACCUCUCUGGCUCUCCUGGCUUCUGCUUAGAAAUAGGAAACGGAGAAAAGGACUCAUGGUUCAUGCCAUUGAUAAAGCAAACUAGUUUAGCGUGUGAGAAAGUGAAAACGAUGAAAGAGUUGAGUCAAGGUUACAACAUUGUCGCAGAGUCUCAAGGAAACUUAGUCGCUAGAGGACUAAUCGAGUUUUGCGAUAAUGCUCCUCCUGUCAUCAACUAUAUUUCCUUAGGAGGUCCUCAUGCUGGCAUUGCCAAAAUCCCCAAGUGUGCUUCUGGUCCAAUAUGUGAUAUAGGUGAAGCUAUGUUGAAGUUAGAGGUCUAUACUGACUUCGUACAAGAUCAUAUUGCUCCCAGUGGUUAUAUCAAGAUUCCUGGUGAAAUCUCAAAGUAUUUGGAACACUCAAAGUAUCUACCAAAGGUUAACAAUGAGAGACCUGACGAAAGAAACUCCACUUUCAAAGACCGAUUCACUAAGUUACACAACUUAGUUCUUGUCAUGUUCGAGAGCGAUACAACAUUAAUCCCUAAAGAAACUGCAUGGUUUGGAUAUUAUGAAGAUGAAGGAUUUGAUACUCUUUUGUCAACUCAACAGACAAAGUUGUACAGAGAAGAUUGGAUUGGUCUGAAAGCAUUGGAUGUUGCCGGAAAAGUGAAGUUUGAAAGUGUGUUAGGGGACCAUCUCAGUAUAUCGGAUGAGGAGGUUGUGGAAUAUGUUGUGCCUUACUUAAUGCAAAGCUGUAUGUGAAUUUCUUUAACUACAUGAGACUAUAAGAGGUAACCGCUCAUGGGAGUUUCUAUCAAGAGAUUGAAUGAACGAGUUGAUGAAGACAUGCCUCUUCAUUAAAUUCAUUAACAAACUUUUUACAUCAAUCGCGGAGCAUUGCGCUGAUGCGGAAGUGAUUUACAAGUUUUUGGAGGUCAAUGAGAUUGAUAAGGAAAAAUAGCUGAUCAGUGAUUUUUGGUUGUCGGAGACUGAUCCGAAUGAGCGACGGUGAUGAAAAUAUGAGUGGUGGAUAGAGACGCAAGGGAUCGGUGAAGUUGUUUAAUACACACAAGGGGUUUGGUUUCAUCACACCAGACGACGGUGGUGAGUGGUGACGAUCUCUUCGUUCACCAGUCCAUUAGCUCUGAAAAAUUUCGUAGCCUUACCGUUGAUGAAGCUGUUGAGUUCAAGGUUGAGGUUGACAACGCCAGUCGUCUGAAGACUGUUGAAGUUUCUGGACCCGAGGGUGCUCCUGUUCAGUGAAAUAACGGCGGUUCAUCUGGUGGAUGUGGUGGUUUUGGCUGUGGAGGUGAGGACGUGAUGGUGGAAAUUAUUAAGGAGGAUAUGGUGGUGAUGGUACUUGCUUUAGGUGUAGUGAACCAAGUUAUAUGGCGAGAGAUUGUUCUCAAGGUGGUGGAGGAUACAGUGGUGGUGGAGGUGGUUGAAGGUACGGUAUGUUGUAGGUGGAGGUGGUGGUACUUGCUUUAGUGGUUUUAUUUGUUUCGUUUAAUUUUGUACCAAUCUUAUCAUUUGUAUUAAGGAUUUUAUAACUAGAGACGUAGGUACAUAUGACAAAUGUGAAUGUUUUUAUUUAUGAAUUAUAAAACAUGUUGUGUUAUAUGUCA